UGACGUGUGCUGAUGGGAACCGUGGUAAAGCAUUGUGCUUUUUUAAAAGCUGGCAAAUGUUUAGCUAAGACCCAACAGCGUAAAGCCCCAACCAGAUUUCCUUUCCAGUAAUCCUGACAUGUUCAGCAAUUUACUGUGUAUCUUUCUCACCAUGUGCUUAUUUUUUCUGUUAAGGAUCACACAACGCCUGAGAAAGAGAAAUGUUUGGAAAAGCAGCAGUGCCAUCUUGUGGAACUUUUGGCGGCUUUAAAUUCGCCACAGCGCCACUGCAGAUCUGUGUGGUUAUCUGUAUCAAAAGGAGUACGCGUUUUGUUUUGUGCUUCCUCAAGGAAUAUAUUGGAAAUUUCUUCACGGUACAGUUAUGACUUAGAGUUAAGUAUCUGCUGCCGAAGGGGCAUUGUAGCAGGGUGUGGAAUUGCUUCCCGAGGAGGGAGGGCCUUCUUUGAGCACGGAGCUUCCCUCCCUCCCUGUCUGGAGCUCAGCUCAGCUGUUCAGCAUGUGCAUUGGUUGAUGUUGGCUCUUUAUCCUUUGACAGGCACUCGCCAGGAAGUGCUCAAGGCAUUGCUAGCGCUUCAGGGAGGGGCUGCAUCUUCUCUUUUCCUCUUGAACCCUGCUUAUGCACUACACUGGCAGAGGUGAUGGCAGUGGGAAUGAGGAGUGCACUUACCGGCUCCAAAACAGAAACCCCAGGAUUCAAAGCCUGGCAGCUGAGGGCCUUUCUGGCUCCUCUCUACUCACACAAAUCCCUAGUCUCACAAUAGCGUACAUCUAAAACACACCCAAGGAGGAGAAAAAACAAAAUAAAAUAUUUCCAUAGUUGCAUUUAUCAGCUUGCUUUUCCUAUAAUGAAAUAACUGAGGUAACAAAUUGAAAGAAGGAAGGUUUUACUUUGGUGCCUGUUUUCAGAGGUUUCAGUCUGUGGCUGGUUGGCCCUGUUGCCUUGGGCCUGCAGUGAGGCAGAACCUUGCACGGCAGAGAUAGAAGCAGAUAGAAGCAGCUGCUCACACCAUGGGAGCCAGGAAGUAAUGAGAGUGGGGGAGGGAGGGAAGCCGACAGGCGAGAAGGGAGGAGGCAGAGGAGGAGAGAAGAGAGGAAAGAAGCGGAGGGCACAGCUGGGUCCCGGUCCGCUUCCGGGGCUCACCUCUGAUGACCUGCUGUCUUCCCUCUGGUCCCACUUCCCAAGGGCUCCACCACGUUCCACGGCAGGAGACCCAGGACGCAGGCCUCUGCGGGGCGUCUAGAUCGAAG
Molecule: long non-coding RNA, 1248 nt
Filed under: Cavia porcellus (domestic guinea pig)
Lineage: Eukaryota; Metazoa; Chordata; Mammalia; Rodentia; Caviidae
Description: lncRNA (ENSCPOG00000032058.1)
Source: RNAcentral